Molecule: ribosomal RNA, 465 nt
Filed under: Vreelandella stevensii
Lineage: Bacteria; Pseudomonadati; Pseudomonadota; Gammaproteobacteria; Oceanospirillales; Halomonadaceae
Description: partial 16S ribosomal RNA
Rfam family: Bacterial small subunit ribosomal RNA
Source: RNAcentral
CCUACGGGCGGCAGCAGUGGGGAAUAUUGGACAAUGGGCGAAAGCCUGAUCCAGCCAUGCCGCGUGUGUGAAGAAGGCCUUCGGGUUGUAAAGCACUUUCAGUGGGGAAGAAAGCCUUGGGGCUAAUACCCUCGAGGAAGGACAUCACCCACAGAAGAAGCACCGGCUAACUCCGUGCCAGCAGCCGCGGUAAUACGGAGGGUGCGAGCGUUAAUCGGAAUUACUGGGCGUAAAGCGCGCGUAGGCGGUCUGAUAAGCCGGUUGUGAAAGCCCCGGGCUCAACCUGGGAACGGCAUCCGGAACUGUCAGGCUAGAGUGCAGGAGAGGAAGGUGGAAUUCCCGGUGUAGCGGUGAAAUGCGUAGAGAUCGGGAGGAAUACCAGUGGCGAAGGCGGCCUUCUGGACUGACACUGACGCUGAGGUGCGAAAGCGUGGGUAGCAAACAGGAUUAGAUACCCUAGUAGUC